ACUGCUCAGUAACACGUGGCUAACCUACCCUCAGGACAAGGAUAAACCCGGGAAACUGGGGCUAAUGCUUGAUAGGCGAAGAUGCCUGGAAUGGUUUUUCACCUAAAGGGCUUUAGAAACAUGCUUCUAAAGUCGCCUGAGGAUGGGGCCGCGUCCGAUCAGGUUGUUGGUGAGGUAACGGCUCACCAAGCCUAUAACCGGUACGGGCCGUGAGAGCGGUAGCCCGGAGAUGGGUACUGAGACAAGGACCCAGGCCCUACGGGGCGCAGCAGCCGCGGUAA
This 281-nucleotide ribosomal RNA is filed under the name uncultured archaeon. RNAcentral describes it as "partial 16S ribosomal RNA". It matches the Rfam family "Archaeal small subunit ribosomal RNA", at positions 85 to 347 of the family's 1478-position model. The record is from RNAcentral.